UGGGGCGUCGCCAAGCGGUAAGGCAGCGGAUUUUGAUUCCGCCAUUCGGAGGUUCGAUCCCUCCCGCCCCAGCCA
RNAcentral lists this transfer RNA (75 nucleotides) under Bradyrhizobium sp. cf659. Its description in RNAcentral is "tRNA_Gln_TTG". It matches the Rfam family "tRNA". From Rfam's summary of the family: Transfer RNA (tRNA) molecules are approximately 80 nucleotides in length. RNAcentral also lists the same sequence under 9 other names. Lineage: Bacteria; Pseudomonadati; Pseudomonadota; Alphaproteobacteria; Hyphomicrobiales; Nitrobacteraceae. The record is from RNAcentral.